AUUGAACGCUGGCGGCAGGCCUAACACAUGCAAGUCGAGCGGAAACGACACUGACAAUCCUUCGGGUGCGUUAAUGGGCGUCGAGCGGCGGACGGGUGAGUAAUGCCUAGGAAAUUGCCUUGAUGUGGGGGAUAACCAUUGGAAACGAUGGCUAAUACCGCAUGAUGUCCUUGUUUAUAAUGAGCGGGGACCAAAGAGGGGGACCUUCGGGCCUCUCGCGUCAAGAUAUGCCUAGGUGAGAUUAGCUAGUUGGUGAGGUAAUGGCUCACCAAGGCGACGAUCCCUAGCUGGUCUGAGAGGAUGAUCAGCCACACUGGAACUGAGACACGGUCCAG
RNAcentral lists this ribosomal RNA (335 nucleotides) under uncultured Vibrio sp. RNAcentral's name for it is "bacterial SSU rRNA". It matches the Rfam family "Bacterial small subunit ribosomal RNA", at positions 30 to 334 of the family's 1533-position model. The record is from RNAcentral. Lineage: Bacteria; Pseudomonadati; Pseudomonadota; Gammaproteobacteria; Vibrionales; Vibrionaceae.